CCUACGGGGGGCAGCAGUGGGGAAUAUUGGACAAUGGGGGGAACCCUGAUCCAGCCAUGCCGCGUGUGUGAAGAAGGCCCUCGGGUUGUAAAGCACUUUCAGUGAGGAAGAACGCCUGGUGGUUAAUACCCAUCAGGAAAGACAUCACUCACAGAAGAAGCACCGGCUAACUCCGUGCCAGCAGCCGCGGUAAUACGGAGGGUGCGAGCGUUAAUCGGAAUUACUGGGCGUAAAGCGCGCGUAGGUGGCUUGAUAAGCCGGUUGUGAAAGCCCCGGGCUCAACCUGGGAACGGCAUCCGGAACUGUCAAGCUAGAGUGCAGGAGAGGAAGGUAGAAUUCCCGGUGUAGCGGUGAAAUGCGUAGAGGUCGGGAGGAAUACCAGUGGCGAAGGCGGCCUUCUGGACUGACACUGACACUGAGGUGCGAAAGCGUGGGUAGCAAACAGGAUUAGAUACCCCUGUAGUC
Molecule: ribosomal RNA, 465 nt
Filed under: Vreelandella stevensii
Lineage: Bacteria; Pseudomonadati; Pseudomonadota; Gammaproteobacteria; Oceanospirillales; Halomonadaceae
Description: partial 16S ribosomal RNA
Rfam family: Bacterial small subunit ribosomal RNA
Source: RNAcentral